Molecule: transfer RNA, 586 nt
Filed under: Candidatus Liberibacter asiaticus
Lineage: Bacteria; Pseudomonadati; Pseudomonadota; Alphaproteobacteria; Hyphomicrobiales; Rhizobiaceae
Description: partial 16S-23S ribosomal RNA intergenic spacer
Rfam family: tRNA (bases 300-372)
Source: RNAcentral
UGCGGCUGGAUCACCUCCUUUCUAAGGAAGAUGUUGAGUAUCAUUGAAUUUAUUGAGUGAUCUGAACGUUUUUUGAAGAUUAAAGCUUUUAAUUAAGCUUGAUAUAAAUUUGCUGUUGUGAAGCAGCGUUUUUAAAAGGAUCGCCGUCCAUGUUUCUCUUUCUUUUCGGAUUUUUUGCGAUGAUGGGGGGUCGUUAAUAUUUGGUUUUGAGGGCCCGUAGCUCAGGUGGUUAGAGUGCACCCCUGAUAAGGGUGAGGUCGGUAGUUCAAAUCUACCUGGGCCCACCACUUUUUGUUCAGGGGGCCGUAGCUCAGUCGGUAGAGCGCCUGCUUUGCAAGCAGGAUGCCAGCGGUUCGAUUCCGCUCGGCUCCACCAUUGGCGUAAUUAUGGAAUUUUGUUCUGAUUUUUUGGAGCAAGAGUUUUUUGAAAAUUGAAUAGAAGAUAUAUUUUUUUGUAUUUUUUAUGUUGGCAUUGUAUGCGACAUAUAAGAUACCGGCGUUGUUAACCGCACGUUGAGAAUUUAUCUCAGGAAAUUGGUCUAUUGAAGAAGCAUUAGCAUAUUAUGUUUUUUUAAUUAUAAAGAGUU